AGCCAGUGAUGACAAAUGUACAAAUUAACUUUUCUGACACCUACUAUGAGAAGCUGAACUCCAGCUCCUGAUUCUAACUUUAUUCUGAGGCUG
Molecule: small nucleolar RNA, 93 nt
Organism: Betta splendens (Siamese fighting fish)
Lineage: Eukaryota; Metazoa; Chordata; Actinopteri; Anabantiformes; Osphronemidae
Product: small nucleolar RNA SNORD60
Source: Ensembl